This 491-nucleotide ribosomal RNA is filed under the name uncultured bacterium. RNAcentral describes it as "partial 16S ribosomal RNA". It matches the Rfam family "Bacterial small subunit ribosomal RNA", at positions 29 to 507 of the family's 1533-position model. The record is from RNAcentral.
GUGAACGCUGGCGGUAGGCCUAACACAUGCCAGUCGCACGGCAGCACAGUAAGAGCUUGCUCUUACGGGUGGCGAGUGGCGGACGGGUGAGGAAUACAUCGGAAUCUACUUUUUCGUGGGGGAUAACGUAGGGAAACUUACGCUAAUACCGCAUACGACCUACGGGUGAAAGCAGGGGAUCUUCGGACCUUGCGCGAUUGAAUGAGCCGAUGUCGGAUUAGCUAGUUGGCGGGGUAAAGGCCCACCAAGGCGACGAUCCGUAGCUGGUCUGAGAGGAUGAUCAGCCACACUGGAACUGAGACACGGUCCAGACUCCUACGGGAGGCAGCAGUGGGGAAUAUUGGACAAUGGGCGCAAGCCUGAUCCAGCCAUACCGCGUGGGUGAAGAAGGCCUUCGGGUUGUAAAGCCCUGUUGUUGGGAAAGAAAAGCAGCAGGUUAAUACCCCGCUGUUCUGACGGUACCCAAAGAAUAAGCACCGGCUAACUUCGUG